GGCCGGUUAGCUCAGCUGGUUAGAGCGUGGUGCUAAUAACGCCAAGGUCGCGGGUUCGAGUCCCGUAUUGGCCA
Molecule: non-coding RNA, 74 nt
Organism: Danio rerio (zebrafish)
Lineage: Eukaryota; Metazoa; Chordata; Actinopteri; Cypriniformes; Danionidae
Source: Rfam